Molecule: long non-coding RNA, 387 nt
Filed under: Gossypium barbadense (sea-island cotton)
Lineage: Eukaryota; Viridiplantae; Streptophyta; Magnoliopsida; Malvales; Malvaceae
Description: long non-coding RNA (GBAR_LNC019717)
Source: RNAcentral
CACUGGCUCACUCCUUGUUCUCAAUGGUUAGGUGUUAAUCUUUAUCACUUAACCAUGGGCAAGGUUCGAGAGUUGGUAAACUCAGGGACUAAUGGAAGCAAAACAAUUAACCUUUAUUUCAUAAGAGGUAUUCUAAAAUACCUUUUCUUUUCCUUCCUAGAACUCAAUGAAAAGUCAUUUUGAUACUAGUGUGUCUGAAGGCUCUCAAAUCUCGCCAUAGGCUCAUGCCCAACGAGAUGUGUUUUGGGCCAACACUUGCAAAGGUUAUAAUCUAUCAUGGUUAUUUUGAAGGACUUAAAAAGGAGAUUCUUAUUUUAUUUAGGUAAAUUAUAUUUAAUGUCACUAAAUUAUUAGUAAAUUUUAUUAUAGUAAAAAUGAUUUUAAGCA